GGACGAACGCUGGCGGCGUGCUUAACCCAUGCAAGUCGUACGGUAGGGCCCUUUCGGGGGUACACGAGUGGCGAACGGGUGAGUAACACGUGAGUAACCUGCCCACAACUUUGGGAUAACGCUAGGAAACUGGUGCUAAUACUGGAUAUGUGCUCCUGCUGCAUGGUGGGGGUUGGAAAGCUCCGGCGGUUGUGGAUGGACUCGCGGCCUAUCAGCUUGUUGGUGGGGUAGUGGCCUACCAAGGCGGCGACGGGUAGCCGGCCUGAGAGGGUGACCGGCCACAUUGGGACUGAGAUACGGCCCAGACUCCUACGGGAGGCAGCAGUGGGGAAUAUUGCACAAUGGGCGCAAGCCUGAUGCAGCAACGCCGCGUGCGGGAUGACGGCCUUCGGGUUGUAAACCGCUUUCAGCAGGGACGAAGCUUUUUGUGACGGUACCUGCAGAAGAAGCACCGGCUAACUACGUG
This 466-nucleotide ribosomal RNA is filed under the name uncultured bacterium. RNAcentral describes it as "partial 16S ribosomal RNA". It matches the Rfam family "Bacterial small subunit ribosomal RNA", at positions 27 to 507 of the family's 1533-position model. The record is from RNAcentral.